CAGAGUAUAGCUAAAACAGAUAAAGCAUCUCCCUUACACCGAGAAAUUACCCGUGCAAAUCGGGUUACCCUGA
RNAcentral lists this transfer RNA (73 nucleotides) under Hoplolatilus purpureus (purple sand tilefish). RNAcentral's name for it is "tRNA-Val". It matches the Rfam family "tRNA". From Rfam's summary of the family: Transfer RNA (tRNA) molecules are approximately 80 nucleotides in length. Lineage: Eukaryota; Metazoa; Chordata; Actinopteri; Malacanthidae. The record is from RNAcentral.